This 81-nucleotide transfer RNA is filed under the name Actinomycetota bacterium. Its description in RNAcentral is "Actinobacteria bacterium tRNA-OTHER". The record is from RNAcentral. Lineage: Bacteria; Bacillati; Actinomycetota.
GCCGGACCAGCCGGACGGGAUUGUGAAGUCUUAAACCUCCUUGUCCGAAAGGACGUGCGGGUUCGAACCCCGCCCCGGGCA